This 1493-nucleotide long non-coding RNA is filed under the name Betula platyphylla (Asian white birch). The record is from RNAcentral. Lineage: Eukaryota; Viridiplantae; Streptophyta; Magnoliopsida; Fagales; Betulaceae.
GGCGGAAUGAUGCAUCUGUUGUAUUUCACUCUAAUUAAAGAGAUUACAAAAUACAUGAUAAAUUAAUUAAAGAGAUUACAAACUAAAAUACAUGAUAAAUACACAAAGUGCAAAAGAUAACAACUAUAACUAUUUACAGUUACAAUCCGAUAUAGCAAAGGUAAAAGUUACAAAAACUGUCAUGAUAAGUUUACAAACUCUAGAAUUGAUCACUCGAGAUAAAUUUUCAUCUCUAGUCUCUUGAUCAUCUGCAAGAAUAUCCUUAAUUUGGAGCUGUUGUUACUUCAGUGAAAUUGAGACUUUGGAGAGAGUAAGGAGCUAAGCUGCAGAUGUGGAGAUUGCUGACGAAUUAAGCUGCCGAUGGUGCUGAGUGAGUAGAUACAUUAACACUUACUGCUACUUUAAAUUCAUUUAAUCAAUUAGCGGCAUUUAGUUGAGUUUGGAAUUUAAAUGGUUUGAUUAUACUCACUGGUUACAGAAAUAAUGGUUGUGUAAGUAGGCCUUCAAGUUCAUCGCAAGCUUUAUUGCUCAGAACUUUCUGGAAAUGAAAUUGAAGAGAUGAGGGACAUUGUUUUCCAUUCGAAACUUGUCAAGCAACCAGUUCUUGUUUGUACCUCAAUUUCGUAACCUGUUCGACCUCGAGUAGUUUGCAAUUGGAACUUGUUUGUCAUUAUCAUGGAUUGGUAUUUUCCUAUUUUUUGAACAUUAUUAAAAAUAUCAUCCUAAUUAAUUCCUGGAACCUUUAUAUGGAAUUAAAUAUUGUAUUUGUAAUCAUGAAUUGGCACAACUCUAGUUUAAAAGACAUUCAUGCAUAGGUAAUCGCUCAAUGUGCCAAAUAGUCAAUGUUGACACACAUUCCUGAAAAAGUUUGGUGUAGCUAAUAUGAGGAGGGCGAACCUAGUGAUCUGUGUAUUUGUCACGUACAUUAUUCUCUCCUCCACCUUAUGGACUCCUGUAGUAGCUGUAUACUAGUAGAAGAUGCCAAUUAAAAAAAAAAAACAAAAAACUCAUAGAAAACUACCGAAGAAAACAUCGUAACACAUUUUGAUAGUACUAUAAGAAAACAUCACAAUUCGGGCAGUGCAUGUGAGAAACUAAAUCGCUGCUCGCUUUUCUUUUGAGAGACACAAUAGACGUUUGACUACAUAAAUGCAUUACAUGAGUCCAAAAUUUAUUUGACAGGAGUGAAUAUAUGGAGUGGCCGUGUGCCUUAGAGGGGAUCCAUAAUCAAGAAAACAAAAAAAACUUGUAAGCGUUUUUAGAUUCUAUCAAUAUUAUCAUACCUAGGAUUUCUGGAUCUCUUCAGAACAGGUAAAAAUUGUUAGUUCAAGGUCGAACAGACAACGAGAUCAAGAUAACCUGCAAGAAACAGCUCACUUGACAAGGUUGGCAUGGAAACCACUCACCAAAUGAAGAACCAAUAAUAUUAAUUUUUAUAGAUUCAUAAAAAAGGUAAGAAGGCAAAAUUCGAGCUACAACCAGCUAGCUUUUAU